Molecule: ribosomal RNA, 497 nt
Filed under: uncultured bacterium
Lineage: Bacteria
Description: partial 16S ribosomal RNA
Rfam family: Bacterial small subunit ribosomal RNA
Source: RNAcentral
GAUGAACGCUGGCGGCGUGCCUAAUACAUGCAAGUCGAGCGAACGGACGAGAAGCUUGCUUCUCUGAUGUUAGCGGCGGACGGGUGAGUAACACGUGGAUAACCUACCUAUAAGACUGGGAUAACUUCGGGAAACCGGAGCUAAUACCGGAUAAUAUUUUGAACCGCAUGGUUCAAAAGUGAAAGACGGUCUUGCUGUCACUUAUAGAUGGAUCCGCGCUGCAUUAGCUAGUUGGUAAGGUAACGGCUUACCAAGGCAACGAUGCAUAGCCGACCUGAGAGGGUGAUCGGCCACACUGGAACUGAGACACGGUCAAGACGCCUACGGGAGGCAGCAGUAGGGAAUCUUCCGCAAUGGGCGAAAGCCUGACGGAGCAACGCCGCGUGAGCGAUGAAGGUCUUCGGAUCGUAAAACUCUGUUAUUAGGGAAGAACAUAUGUGUAAGUAACUGUGCACAUCUUGACGGUACCUAAUCAGAAAGCCACGGCUAACUACGUG